Molecule: ribosomal RNA, 253 nt
Filed under: uncultured bacterium
Lineage: Bacteria
Description: partial 16S ribosomal RNA
Rfam family: Bacterial small subunit ribosomal RNA
Source: RNAcentral
UACGAAGGGUGCAAGCGUUACUCGGAAUUAUUGGGCGUAAAGGGCUCGUAGGCGGUCUGUUGCGUCGGGAGUGAAAACUCAGGGCUUAACCCUGAGCCUGCUUCCGAUACGGGCAGACUAGAGGUAUGCAGGGGAGAACGGAAUUCCUGGUGUAGCGGUGAAAUGCGCAGAUAUCAGGAGGAACACCGGUGGCGAAGGCGGGACUCUGGGCCGAUACUGACGCUGAGGAGCGAAAGCGUGGGGAGCAAACAGG